This 251-nucleotide ribosomal RNA is filed under the name uncultured bacterium. RNAcentral's name for it is "partial 16S ribosomal RNA". It matches the Rfam family "Bacterial small subunit ribosomal RNA", at positions 524 to 776 of the family's 1533-position model. The record is from RNAcentral.
UACGUAGGGUGCGAGCGUUAAUCGGAAUUACUGGGCGUAAAGCGUGCGCAGGCGGUUCGUUGUGUCGGCGGUGAAAGCCCCGGGCUUAACCUGGGAAUGGCCGUUGAAACUGGCGAACUGGAGUGUGGCAGAGGGGUGGAAUUCCGCGUGUAGCAGUGAAAUGCGUAGAGAUGCGGAGGAACACCGAUGGCGAAGGCAGCCCCCUGGGCUAACACUGACGCUCAGGCACGAAAGCGUGGGGAGCAAACAGG